Podarcis lilfordi (Lilford's wall lizard) is the source of this 92-nucleotide non-coding RNA. NCBI's taxonomy places the organism in Eukaryota, Metazoa, Chordata, Lepidosauria, Squamata, Lacertidae. The record is from the annotation of a GenBank genome assembly.
AUCGCUUCUCGGCCUUUUGGCUAAGAUCAAGUGUAGUAUAGUAAAGCAUCAAACAUUAAAAACUAAAUAAAAUUAAAAUAUCAACAACCUCA